CACGUAGGGGACGAGCGUUGUCCGGAUUCAUUGGGCGUAAAGCGCGUGUAGGCGGGCCGGCACGUCGGUGCUGAAAGCCCCCGGCUCAACCGGGGAACGGGCGCCGAUACGACCGGCCUGGAGGGGCGUAGGGGGACCGGGAACUUCCGGUGGAGCGGUGAAAUGCGUUGAGAUCGGAAGGAACGCCCGUGGCGAAAGCGCGGUCCUGGACGCCUACUGACGCUGAGACGCGAAAGCCAGGGGAGCGAACGGG
RNAcentral lists this ribosomal RNA (253 nucleotides) under uncultured bacterium. RNAcentral's name for it is "partial 16S ribosomal RNA". It matches the Rfam family "Bacterial small subunit ribosomal RNA", at positions 524 to 776 of the family's 1533-position model. The record is from RNAcentral.